This 200-nucleotide ribosomal RNA is filed under the name uncultured bacterium. Its description in RNAcentral is "partial 16S ribosomal RNA". It matches the Rfam family "Bacterial small subunit ribosomal RNA", at positions 29 to 256 of the family's 1533-position model. The record is from RNAcentral.
AACGAACGCUGGCGGCAUGCCUAACACACGCAAGUCGAACGAGACCUUCGGGUCUAGUGGCGCACGGGUGCGUAACGCGUGGGAAUCUGCCCUUGGGUUCGGAAUAACAGUGAGAAAUUACUGCUAAUACCGGAUGAUGACGAAAGUCCAAAGAUUUAUCGCCCAAGGAUGAGCCCGCGUAGGAUUAGCUAGUUGGUAAG